RNAcentral lists this small nuclear RNA (314 nucleotides) under Castor canadensis (American beaver). RNAcentral describes it as "7SK RNA (ENSCCNG00000005532.1)". It matches the Rfam family "7SK RNA". From Rfam's summary of the family: 7SK was discovered as an abundant small nuclear RNA in the mid-70s but a possible function has only recently been suggested. Two independent studies have found that 7SK RNA binds the CDK9/cyclin T complex (known as elongation factor P-TEFb). The record is from Rfam by way of RNAcentral. Lineage: Eukaryota; Metazoa; Chordata; Mammalia; Rodentia; Castoridae.
AGAUAUGAGGGCGAUCUCACUGCAACAUCUGUCACCCCAUUGAUUGCCAGGGUUGAUUCAGCUGAUCUGGCUGGCUAGGCGGGUGUCCCCUUCCUCCCUCACUGCUCCAUGUGCAUCCCUCCUGAAGCUGUGCACUUGGUUGAAGAGGACAACCAUCCUGACAGAGGAGGACCAUUCUUCAAUCAAGGGUAUACGAGUAGCUGCGCUCCCCUGACAGAACCUCCAAACAGGCUCUCAAGAAACCAACCAUGGGAGUCCCUUGGAGUGUUUUAAGUUUUAAGCAACACAUCAUAAAUCCCACCACCUUUAUCUUG